Molecule: ribosomal RNA, 258 nt
Filed under: uncultured bacterium
Lineage: Bacteria
Description: partial small subunit ribosomal RNA
Rfam family: Bacterial small subunit ribosomal RNA
Source: RNAcentral
AGAAUCAACGCUGGCGGCGUGCCUAACACAUGCAAGUCGAACGAGAAAGUGGAGCAAUCCAUGAGUAAAGUGGCGACCGGGUGAGUAACACGUGACUAACCUACCUUCGAGUGGGGGAUAACCUCGGGAAACCGGGCUAAUACCGCAUAACAUCUUUGAAGUGGAAAUUUCGGAGAUCAAAGGGGCAAUUCGCUUGAAGAGGGGGUCGCGGCUGAUUAGCUAGUUGGCGGGUAACGCCCACCAAGGCUUAGAUCGGUA